This 596-nucleotide small RNA is filed under the name Rattus norvegicus (Norway rat). RNAcentral describes it as "uncharacterized LOC102553350". Lineage: Eukaryota; Metazoa; Chordata; Mammalia; Rodentia; Muridae. The record is from RNAcentral.
AGGAGGAUCUUUGACACCAGGGGCCAUGCAGUGCGGGUUGCCACCACCUGUCACUCUUGGCCCCCGUUCAGAGGACACGGCAUUCUUCCCACGGCCUGACAUGGGGUAGAAUGGCGUUGGAACCAUUAGGAAGAAAAAGGGAGGGGGCAUCUGGGCCCUGGGAGCAGGCUAUGGCCAUGAUACGGGAAGGGGCUUCAAGAAGAGGGGCCUUUGGGCAGGCUGAAGGGCAAGACUAUGCCCAGGCCCAGGAAUGGCUCUGCCCACCUCUAUGCCAUACCUCUCUGGGUUUCUAGGAGCUUGGGGAGAACCGCCGUGAUCCCAGUGCCCAGCCCUGUGCCCCAGGUAUCCGGAUCUACUCAGACCAUCUCUGGGGUUCAGCAGGCAACAUUCCUCUUCCAGGAAGCAAAAUUAAGCAAUGUCUGUGGAGCCCUUACCCAUGAGGGGCUGGUCUGGGUGUGAACCUAACCUCACCUAAGAAAAACGUCCAAGUUACCUGUGUGGGAAACCGAAACUCUCAAGGACACAGACUGAAGGAAUAAGGAAACAAGAUGGCCAUGGCCUCUCCACCUUCCUUAACCCCCCCCCCGGGGGGAAGG